RNAcentral lists this ribosomal RNA (487 nucleotides) under uncultured bacterium. RNAcentral describes it as "partial 16S ribosomal RNA". It matches the Rfam family "Bacterial small subunit ribosomal RNA", at positions 899 to 1397 of the family's 1533-position model. The record is from RNAcentral.
ACUCAAAUGAAUUGACGGGGGCCCGCACAAGCAGCGGAGCGUGUGGUUUAAUUCGAGGCUACACGAAGAACCUUACCUGGGUUAGACAGGACACCCGUAGGCCGCCGAAAGGCGACCGACCCGCAAGGGCAGUGUCCCAGGUGCUGCAUGGCUGUCGUCAGCUCGUGCCGUGAGGUGUUAGGUUAAGUCCUGUAACGAGCGCAACCCUCGGGUCUAGUUACACGUUGUCUAGACCGACUGCCCGUGACAAGCGGGAGGAAGGUGGGGAUGACGUCAAGUCAGCAUGGCCUUGAUAUCCAGGGCUACACACACGCUACAAUGGCCGGUACAAUGGGUCGCCAAGCGGCAACGCGGAGCCAAUCCACCAAAGCCGGUCUCAGUUCGGAUUGGGGGCUGCAACCCGCCCCCAUGAAGUCGGAGUUGCUAGUAACCGCGGGUCAGCCAUACCGCGGUGAAUACGUUCCCGGGCCUUGUACACACCGCCCGU